Molecule: ribosomal RNA, 362 nt
Filed under: Carabus baudii stecki
Lineage: Eukaryota; Metazoa; Arthropoda; Insecta; Coleoptera; Carabidae
Description: partial 12S ribosomal RNA
Source: RNAcentral
UUUAAAUGUAAAAUAAAUAUACUUAAUUAGUAUUAGUUAUGUUCUUGAAAUUUAAAGAUUUUGGCGGUAUUUUAGUCUAUUUAGAGGAGCCUGUUCUAUAAUUGAUAAUCCACGAUUAAUUUUACUUAAUUUAAAUAAAUUUGUAUACCGUCGUUAUAAGAAGAUUUUAAAAGAAUAUAAAUUUUUAGUAUUUUAUAUAAAAAAAUAUAUCAGAUCAAGGUGCAGUUUAUAGUUAAGAAGAAAUGGGCUACAAUAAAUUUAUUUAUUUAUAUGGAUUAAAGGGGGAAGAGACUUUAUGAAGGUGGAUUUAAUAGUAAUAAAAUUAACUUAAAUUUUAUGAUUUUUUUAGCUCUAAAAUAUGU